CUGAUCAGCAGGGGCAUUUUCUUUAUAUAAGAAGAAAAUGGAGACUCCCUACCCACCCGAUGUAUUUUGUCGGACAGUUUUCUGUACAUUGCAGUCACCAAUAUAUCCAAAUAUCAUCACCGGCCCAGACGUCAUUCACUCCUUUGAAUUGUGCUGGUAGCAGUAAGGUGUCAUCAUUUGAGAUGGUCACAGUAUCCAAUACACUGAAGUCACAGGACUCAAAUUUCAUACAUGUUCACAGGGUCUCUGCCAAAAUCUUUUGAGGAUUUUUCCUCUGCUAGAGCAUCCAUGGAUGCAAAUGAAACAACCCAGGACAUCCCAACACAUAUGGAUAAUCAGGCCAUGGCCUACAGUAUGUACAAAAGUUGCCAUACUUUUAAAGCAGUAACUUGCGUGCCUCCAAAUGCUGCACUUACAUUUUGCUCCAUGCUGUACCCAGGUUCUACUUCUGAUGUAGCUAUUGUACGUCACAGCCAAGUUUUACGAAAGUUCAAAGCUGGAGACCUUAUUUUGGUGGUCAAAGGUUUCACCAUUCAUGACCAGUUGCCCCAGGGUGUCUGCUUAAUUAUAAAAGCUCUUUUAUUGACACGAGGCCAGUUUACCAUACAAGAAGCAGCACUGUUACAAGAUUGCUAAAGCACUUAUUCAUGUGGAAAGAGCCAACGAGAGGAUAAAGAAUUACGAGAUUCUCCGUCACAUACCAUCUACUUACAGACCAAUCUCAACAAAAAUAUUUCAACUCUGUUCUUGUCUUGUAAACUUGCAAGCUCCACUUUGGAAAGAAAUUAAAGAUACAUGUACUUAUUAUAAAUUUGCAUUGGCGUGUGACAGUAUACACUAAACAGUGAAGAUAUUCAUACCAAAGUGCAAGGGAUAAGCAAAUUUUGAUUUGUUAUCAAUGUCAAUGGUUAUAUUUGUUAACUUUGUAGUAUGUUGUAAUACAUGUACUUCAGAAAAUGAAAA
Molecule: long non-coding RNA, 963 nt
Organism: Saccostrea cuccullata (small rock oyster)
Lineage: Eukaryota; Metazoa; Mollusca; Bivalvia; Ostreida; Ostreidae
Exons: 3
Source: RefSeq, a predicted model, not a curated record